UAUUUUUUUUUUUUUUUUUUUUUUUUUUUUUUUUUUUUUUUUUAUGUAUAGUUUUUUUUUUUUUUUUUUUUUUUUUUUUUUUUUUUUUUUUUUUUUUUUUUUUUUUUAUGAAUAUAUUGAUCUUUUUUUUUUGAUUAUACAUUUAUGUGUUUUAUUGAUUUACAAUUUUUUUUUUUUUUUUUUUUUUUUUUUUUUUUUUUUUUUUUUUUUUUUUUUUUUUUUUUUUUUUAUAUUACUAUAUAAUAUAUUAACGUAAAAAAAAAAAAAAAAAAAAAAAAAAAAAAAAAAAAAAAAAAAAAAAAAAAAAAAAAAAAAGAGGAAGAAGACCUCUAUAAAAAUUACCCCGAAUC
This 350-nucleotide unclassified non-coding RNA is filed under the name Melitaea cinxia (Glanville fritillary). RNAcentral's name for it is "misc RNA ENSMCXG00005020336.1". The record is from RNAcentral. Lineage: Eukaryota; Metazoa; Arthropoda; Insecta; Lepidoptera; Nymphalidae.